RNAcentral lists this unclassified non-coding RNA (29 nucleotides) under Mus musculus (house mouse). RNAcentral describes it as "oocyte_clustered_small_RNA12851". The record is from RNAcentral. Lineage: Eukaryota; Metazoa; Chordata; Mammalia; Rodentia; Muridae.
AUGGAUCACAGGGCCCCCAACUGGAGGAG